CGUCGAACUCGCGGCUGCCG
This 20-nucleotide unclassified non-coding RNA is filed under the name Mus musculus (house mouse). RNAcentral describes it as "oocyte_clustered_small_RNA10679". The record is from RNAcentral. Lineage: Eukaryota; Metazoa; Chordata; Mammalia; Rodentia; Muridae.